AGUGAACGCUGGCGGCAGGCCUAACACAUGCAAGUCGAACGGCAGCAUAGUAAGUGCUUGCUCAUACGGGUGGCGAGUGGCGGACGGUGCCGGAGUAUAUGGGAUUACACUUUUUCGUGGGUGCUAACGCAGGGAAACUUACGCCAUUCCCGCAUACGACGUACGAGUGUAAGCAGGCGAACUUCGGACCUUGUGCUAUUGUAUGAGCCCAUGUCGGAUUAGCUAGUUGGCGGGGUAAAGGGGCACCAAGGCGACACUGCGUAGCUGGUCUGAGAGGGUGAACAGCCACACUGGAACUGAGACACGGUCCAGACUCCGACGGGAGGCAGCAGUGGGGAAUAUUGGACAAUGGGCGAAAGCCUGAUACAGCCAUACCGCGUGGGUGAAGAAGGACUUCGGGUUGUAAAGCCCUUUAGUUGGGAAAGAAGAGCAGCAGGUUAAUACCCCGCUGUUCUGACGGUACCCAAAGAAUAAGCACCGGCUAACUUCGUG
Molecule: ribosomal RNA, 492 nt
Filed under: uncultured bacterium
Lineage: Bacteria
Description: partial 16S ribosomal RNA
Rfam family: Bacterial small subunit ribosomal RNA
Source: RNAcentral